GGAAUACAAAGGACUAGUAGAGAAGAGCUGGACAUGUCAUUUGUGACUCAUUCUUUUAAUUCACCGUGCUAAUCAACUGAACUGCCACAAUCUCCCAAGGUUCAGAGUCCGGCCAUAGAAGAGAUGAUGGAUAGGGCCUUCUUUGGCUUCCAGCUGCUUCUCAGUAGAAAAUGGAAAAGGAACAUAAGCAAAACGCACAACCUUCUCGAUAAAAACACCUACACAAUGGAUUUGUGAAACUCAUUCUGGAAAUGAUAUUUC
This 261-nucleotide long non-coding RNA is filed under the name Gallus gallus (chicken). Lineage: Eukaryota; Metazoa; Chordata; Aves; Galliformes; Phasianidae. The record is from RNAcentral.